GAAUAUUAGUCAAUGCUCGAAAGAGUGAACUAGCUAACUGAAAUCAAUUAUAAUAAUUGAUAACAUAAGGGAAAAUAAUGAUAUUACCUUAUUAUUAGUGUCGUCCAAAUCUGGUGCCAGAAGACUCGGUAAGGCCAGAGACACAAACGUUAAUCGUCUUAAUCAGGCGUAAAGGGUUUGUAGGCGGCUUUAAAAAAUUUACUUAAAAAAUUAAAAUUAAGUAAAGAAUAAAAGCUAGAAUCAAAUAGAGGAUAAUUGAAAGAAUGCUUAGAGUAGGUCUGAUAUCCUUAGAUACUAAGUAGAAUACUAAAGGCGAAAGCUUUUUUCCAUUAAUGAUUGACGCUCAGAAACGAAGGUGAGGAUAGGAAAUAGGAUUAGAUACCCAGAUACCCCUCUCUGUCAACGAUGAAUGGUAGUUAUUAGUAAAAAAUUUAUUAAUGGCAAUGUUAACACGAUAACCAUUCCGCCUUGUGAGUACAACUGCAAAGUUGAAAACAAAAAAAUUAGUCGGUUUCGGAGCAAACGAAGUGAAGCAUGUUAUUUAA
Molecule: ribosomal RNA, 545 nt
Filed under: Russula heinemannii
Lineage: Eukaryota; Fungi; Basidiomycota; Agaricomycetes; Russulales; Russulaceae
Description: partial 12S small subunit ribosomal RNA
Rfam family: Bacterial small subunit ribosomal RNA
Source: RNAcentral